GAUGAACGCUAGCGGCAGGCUUAAUACAUGCAAGUCGAGGGGCAGCAGGGUGUAGCAAUACAUCGCUGGCGACCGGCAAACGGGUGCGGAACACGUACACAACUUUCCUUUAAGUGGGGGAGUAGCCCAGAGAAAUUUAGGUAUUAAUACCCCGUAAAACUUAAUGAAGUGGCAUCAUUUUAUAAUUAAAGCUCCGGCGCUUGAAGAUGGGUGUGCGGCUGAUUAGGUAGUUGGCGGGGAACGG
This 244-nucleotide ribosomal RNA is filed under the name uncultured bacterium. RNAcentral's name for it is "partial 16S ribosomal RNA". It matches the Rfam family "Bacterial small subunit ribosomal RNA", at positions 28 to 262 of the family's 1533-position model. The record is from RNAcentral.